GGGGGUGCAGCUCAGUGGUAGAGUGCUUGCCUAGCAUGUGCGAGGCCCUGGGUUCAAUUCCCAGCACCACCA
Molecule: transfer RNA, 72 nt
Filed under: Heterocephalus glaber (naked mole-rat)
Lineage: Eukaryota; Metazoa; Chordata; Mammalia; Rodentia; Bathyergidae
Rfam family: tRNA
About the family: Transfer RNA (tRNA) molecules are approximately 80 nucleotides in length. Their secondary structure includes four short double-helical elements and three loops (D, anti-codon, and T loops). Further hydrogen bonds mediate the characteristic L-shaped molecular structure. tRNAs have two regions of fundamental functional importance: the anti-codon, which is responsible for specific mRNA codon recognition, and the 3' end, to which the tRNAs corresponding amino acid is attached (by aminoacyl-tRNA synthetases). tRNAs cope with the degeneracy of the genetic code in two manners: having more than one tRNA (with a specific anti-codon) for a particular amino acid; and 'wobble' base-pairing, i.e. permitting non-standard base-pairing at the 3rd anti-codon position.
Source: Rfam by way of RNAcentral